ACACUUACCUGGCAGGGGAGAUACUGUGAUCGCAAAGGUUGUUUUCCCAAGGCAAGGUUUAUCCAUUGCAUUCCAGAUGUGCUGACCCUUGCAAUUUCUCCAAAUAUGGGAAGCUUGAUUGCAUAAUUUACAAUAGGAGGGCUUGCGUUCAUGCUUUGCCCUG
Artibeus jamaicensis (Jamaican fruit-eating bat) is the source of this 163-nucleotide small nuclear RNA. RefSeq annotates it as U1 spliceosomal RNA. Lineage: Eukaryota; Metazoa; Chordata; Mammalia; Chiroptera; Phyllostomidae. The record is from RefSeq and is a predicted model, not a curated record. The transcript has a single exon.